Molecule: long non-coding RNA, 374 nt
Filed under: Bos taurus (domestic cattle)
Lineage: Eukaryota; Metazoa; Chordata; Mammalia; Artiodactyla; Bovidae
Description: long non-coding RNA NONBTAT017711
Source: RNAcentral
UGAGUGCUAACAUGUCUGCUCUCGAAUUCACCCGUGAAUCAUAAUACAGACUGGUCAGUGGUCAACAGUGCAUGAUUUGGGGGCCCUGGCUUCAACUGGAAGCCACGCCUGGCUGAGUCAGGGGGGCUCCCGUAUCCCCCGAUGCCCCCCUGACUACAUACCACAGAUGAACAGGAUCUUUUGUUGCUAUGGUGGUUAGAUGUCCUUUUUUGCUUUUUUGUCUGUUCCCAUUUCUGCUUGCUUUUAACAGAAAGAGUCUUUGGCCCAUUUAGGGGGGGUUUACAUCACAACAUGUACACGAAUAAAAUAUGCACGUGCCCUGUGGCCAGUGCCUUGCCCCUGCCCCAUCGGUUCAGCCUCAUCACCAAAUCACU